This 665-nucleotide unclassified non-coding RNA is filed under the name Hevea brasiliensis (rubber tree). Lineage: Eukaryota; Viridiplantae; Streptophyta; Magnoliopsida; Malpighiales; Euphorbiaceae. The record is from RNAcentral.
CAAGCGGAUUUGGGCCAACAGGCAGUCAGCUGCAAGAUCAAAGGAAAGGAAAAUGAGAUAUAUAGCAGAGCUUGAGAGAAAAGUUCAGACUCUGCAAACGGAAGCAACUACUUUAUCUACUCAGUUGACCCUAUUGCAGAGAGAUACAAACGGCCUGAAUGCUGAAAACAGUGAACUUAAACUGCGUUUACAAACAAUGGAACAACAGGUUCACUUGCAAGAUGCGUUGAAUGAUGCUUUAAAGGAGGAGAUACAGCAUCUGAAAGUGCUAACUGGGCAAGGCAUAGCAAAUGGUGGACCUAUGAUGAACUUCCCAGCAACCUUUGGAGGCAAUCAGCAGUUCUACUCUAACAACCAGGCAAUGCAUACAUUGUUGGCUGCACAACAACUUCAACAGCUCCAGCUACAUUCUCAUAAGCAACAACACCAGUUUCAGCAACAUCAGCUACACCAGUUUCAGCAGCAACAGUUGCAGCACCAACAACAGCAACAGCAACCUCUUAUGCAGCAGCAGCAGCAGCAGGAUCAACUUUCACAAGCCGGAGAUGUGAUGUCAAGAGGUUCUCUGUCAUCUCCUCAAAAUGAAAACGCUUCUGAUGUUAGUUCUGUAGCAAAGGAUUGAACAGCUGAUGGCCAGAGAGACAGGAGAUGGUGUAUGUUUUAAA